GGUGAACGCUGGCGGUAGGCCUAACACAUGCAAGUCGAACGGCAGCACAGUAAGAGCUUGCUCUUACGGGUGGCGAGUGGCGGACGGGUGAGGAAUACAUCGGAAUCUACUUUUUCGUGGGGGAUAACGUAGGGAAACUUACGCUAAUACCGCAUACGACCUACGGGUGAAAGCAGGGGAUCUUCGGACCUUGCGCGAUUGAAUGAGCCGAUGUCGGAUUAGCUAGUUGGCGGGGUAAAGGCCCACCAAGGCGACGAUCCGUAGCUGGUCUGAGAGGAUGAUCAGUCACACUGGAACUGAGACACGGUCCAGACUCCUACGGGAGGCAGCAGUGGGGAAUAUUGGACAAUGGGCGCAAGCCUGAUCCAGCCAUACCGCGUGGGUGAAGAAGGCCUUCGGGUUGUAAAGCCCUUUUGUUGGGAAAGAAAAGCAGCAGGUUAAUACCCCGCUGUUCUGACGGUACCCAAAGAAUAAGCACCGGCUAACUUCGUG
This 492-nucleotide ribosomal RNA is filed under the name uncultured bacterium. RNAcentral describes it as "partial 16S ribosomal RNA". It matches the Rfam family "Bacterial small subunit ribosomal RNA", at positions 28 to 507 of the family's 1533-position model. The record is from RNAcentral.